RNAcentral lists this ribosomal RNA (492 nucleotides) under uncultured bacterium. RNAcentral's name for it is "partial 16S ribosomal RNA". It matches the Rfam family "Bacterial small subunit ribosomal RNA", at positions 29 to 507 of the family's 1533-position model. The record is from RNAcentral.
AGUGAACGCUGGCGGUAGGCCUAACACAUGCAAGUCGAACGGCAGCACAGUAAGAGCUUGCUCUUACGGGUGGCGAGUGGCGGACGGGUGAGGAAUACAUCGGAAGCUACUUUUUCGUGGGGGAUAACGUAGGGAAACUUACGCUAAUACCGCAUACGACCUACGGGUGAAAGCAGGGGAUCUUCGGACCUUGCGCGAUUGAAUGAGCCGAUGUCGGAUUAGCUAGUUGGCGGGGUAAAGGCCCACCAAGGCGACGAUCCGUAGCUGGUCUGAGAGGAUGAUCAGCCACACUGGAACUGAGACACGGUCCAGACUCCUACGGGAGGCAGCAGUGGGGAAUAUUGGACAAUGGGCGCAAGCCUGAUCCAGCCAUACCGCGUGGGUGAAGAAGGCCUUCGGGUUGUAAAGCCCUUUUGUUGGGAAAGAAAAGCAGCAGGUUAAUACCCCGCUGUUCUGACGUUACCCAAAGAAUAAGCACCGGCUAACUUCGUG